Molecule: ribosomal RNA, 253 nt
Filed under: uncultured bacterium
Lineage: Bacteria
Description: partial 16S ribosomal RNA
Rfam family: Bacterial small subunit ribosomal RNA
Source: RNAcentral
UACGUAGGGUGCAAGCGUUGUCCGGAAUUAUUGGGCGUAAAGAGCUCGUAGGCGGUUCGUCGCGUCGGCUGUGAAAACCUGAGGCUCAACCUCAGGCCUGCAGUCGAUACGGGCGGACUUGAGUACUGCAGGGGAGACUGGAAUUCCUGGUGUAGCGGUGAAAUGCGCAGAUAUCGGGAGGAACACCGGUGGCGAAGGCGGUUCUCUGGGCCUUACCUGACGCUGAGGAGCGAAAGCGUGGGGAGCAAACAGG